RNAcentral lists this unclassified non-coding RNA (329 nucleotides) under soil metagenome. Its description in RNAcentral is "partial contains 5.8S ribosomal RNA, internal transcribed spacer 2, and large subunit ribosomal RNA". The stretch from base 1 to 120 matches the Rfam family "5.8S ribosomal RNA", at positions 35 to 154 of the family's 154-position model. The record is from RNAcentral.
GAUGAAGAACUUAUCGAAAUGCGAUAAGUAGUGUGAAUUGCAGAAUUCAGUGAAUCAUCGAAUCUUUGAACGCACAUUGCGCCCCUUGGUAUCCCGAGGGGCAUACCUGUUCGAGCGUCAUUUCACCACUCAAGCCUGGCUUGGUGUUGGGCGACGUCCCCUUUAGGGACGCGCCUCGAAGCGCUCGGCGGCGCGGCACCGGCUUUAAGCGUAGCAGAAUCUUUCGCUUUGGAAGUCGGGGCCCCGCCUGCCGGAAUACCUACUUGUAAGGUUGACCUCGGAUCAGGCAGGGAUACCCGCUGAACUUAAGCAUAUCAAUAAGCGGAGGA